Molecule: transfer RNA, 66 nt
Filed under: Hypsathalia przewalskyi
Lineage: Eukaryota; Metazoa; Arthropoda; Insecta; Hymenoptera; Athaliidae
Description: tRNA-His
Source: RNAcentral
AUUUAAGUAGUUUAAUAAUAAAACUAUGAUUUGUGGUGUCAUGAAUAUAAUGAUUUAUCUUAAAUU